UACGGACAAGGGGAAUCC
RNAcentral lists this small nuclear RNA (18 nucleotides) under Arabidopsis thaliana (thale cress). Its description in RNAcentral is "snRNA_15971". Lineage: Eukaryota; Viridiplantae; Streptophyta; Magnoliopsida; Brassicales; Brassicaceae. The record is from RNAcentral.